UACGGGGGGGGCAAGCGUUGUUCGGAAUUACUGGGCGUAAAGGGCUCGUAGGCGGCCAACUAAGUCAGACGUGAAAUCCCCCGGCUUAACCAGGGAACUGCGUCUGAUACUGGAUGGCUUGAGUUUGGGAGAGGGAUGCGGAAUUCCAGGUGUAGCGGUGAAAUGCGUAGAUAUCAGGAAGAACACCCGUGGCGAAGGCGGUGCUCUGGGACGGUACUGACGCUGAGACGCGAAAGCGUGGGGAGCGAACAGG
RNAcentral lists this ribosomal RNA (253 nucleotides) under uncultured bacterium. RNAcentral describes it as "partial 16S ribosomal RNA". It matches the Rfam family "Bacterial small subunit ribosomal RNA", at positions 524 to 776 of the family's 1533-position model. The record is from RNAcentral.